RNAcentral lists this ribosomal RNA (493 nucleotides) under uncultured Variovorax sp. Its description in RNAcentral is "bacterial SSU rRNA". It matches the Rfam family "Bacterial small subunit ribosomal RNA", at positions 37 to 507 of the family's 1533-position model. The record is from RNAcentral. Lineage: Bacteria; Pseudomonadati; Pseudomonadota; Betaproteobacteria; Burkholderiales; Comamonadaceae.
UGCUCAGUAUUAGACGCGUGGCGGCAUGCCUUACACAUGCAAGUCGAACGGCAGCGCGGGAGCAAUCCUGGCGGCGAGUGGCGAACGGGUGAGUAAUACAUCGGAACGUGCCCAAUCGUGGGGGAUAACGCAGCGAAAGCUGUGCUAAUACCGCAUAAGAUCUAUGGAUGAAAGCAGGGGACCGCAAGGCCUUGCGCGAAUGGAGCGGCCGAUGGCAGAUUAGGUAGUUGGUGAGGUAAAGGCUCACCAAGCCUUCGAUCUGUAGCUGGUCUGAGAGGACGACCAGCCACACUGGGACUGAGACACGGCCCAGACUCCUACGGGAGGCAGCAGUGGGGAAUUUUGGACAAUGGGCGGAAGCCUGAUCCAGCCAUGCCGCGUGCAGGAUGAAGGCCUUCGGGUUGUAAACUGCUUUUGUACGGAACGAAACGGUCUCUUCUAAUAAAGGGGGCUAAUGACGGUACCGUAAGAAUAAGCACCGGCUAACUACGUG